RNAcentral lists this ribosomal RNA (749 nucleotides) under Cytophaga sp. JL063. Its description in RNAcentral is "bacterial SSU rRNA". It matches the Rfam family "Bacterial small subunit ribosomal RNA", at positions 30 to 774 of the family's 1533-position model. Lineage: Bacteria; Pseudomonadati; Bacteroidota; Cytophagia; Cytophagales; Cytophagaceae. The record is from RNAcentral.
UGAACGCUAGCGGCAGGCUUAACACAUGCAAGUCGAGGGGCAGCAUCAAUUGCUUGCAAUUGGAUGGCGACCGGCGCACGGGUGCGUAACGCGUAUAGAAUCUGCCUUGUACAGGAGGAUAGCCUUUAGAAAUGAAGAUUAAUACUCCAUAAUGUUGAGAUAUGGCAUCAUAUUUUAAUUAAAGAUUUAUCGGUACAAGAUGACUAUGCGUCCUAUUAGCUAGAUGGUAAGGUAACGGCUUACCAUGGCUACGAUAGGUAGGGGGUCUGAGAGGAUUAUCCCCCACACUGGUACUGAGACACGGACCAGACUCCUACGGGAGGCAGCAGUGAGGAAUAUUGGUCAAUGGAGGCAACUCUGAACCAGCCAUGCCGCGUGUAGGAAGACUGCCCUAUGGGUUGUAAACUACUUUUAUAUGGGAAGAAACCCCUCUACGUGUAGAGGCUUGACGGUACCAUAAGAAUAAGCACCGGCUAACUCCGUGCCAGCAGCCGCGGUAAUACGGAGGGUGCAAGCGUUAUCCGGAAUCAUUGGGUUUAAAGGGUCCGCAGGCGGUCAAUUAAGUCAGAGGUGAAAUCCUGCAGCUUAACUGUAGAACUGCCUUUGAUACUGGUUGACUUGAGUUAUACGGAAGUAGGUAGAAUAAGUAGUGUAGCGGUGAAAUGCAUAGAUAUUACUUAGAAUACCGAUUGCGAAGGCAGCCUACUACGUAUAUACUGACGCUCAGGACGAAAGCGUGGGGACGAACA